RNAcentral lists this ribosomal RNA (305 nucleotides) under uncultured bacterium. RNAcentral's name for it is "bacterial SSU rRNA". It matches the Rfam family "Bacterial small subunit ribosomal RNA", at positions 333 to 635 of the family's 1533-position model. The record is from RNAcentral.
UCUGUCCUACGGGGCGCAGCAGUGAGGAAUAUUGGUCAAUGGGCGGGAGCCUGAACCAGCCAAGUCGCGUGAGGGAAGACGGUCCUAUGGAUUGUAAACCUCUUUAGGCGGGGAGCAAUGCCGGGCACGCGUGCCCGGAGGGAGAGUACCCGCAGAAAAAGCAUCGGCUAACUCCGUGCCAGCAGCCGCGGUAAUACGGAGGAUGCGAGCGUUAUCCGGAUUUAUUGGGUUUAAAGGGUGCGUAGGCGGGACCUUAAGUCAGCGGUAAAAUUGCGGUGCUCAACGCCGUAGAGCCGUUGAAACUG